This 384-nucleotide ribosomal RNA is filed under the name uncultured prokaryote. RNAcentral's name for it is "bacterial SSU rRNA". It matches the Rfam family "Archaeal small subunit ribosomal RNA", at positions 339 to 725 of the family's 1478-position model. The record is from RNAcentral.
UCGCGAAAACUUCACAAUGGGGGAAACCCCGAUGAGGGAAUUCCAAGUGCCAGCACAUUGUGUUGGCUGUUCUCUGGUCUAAAAAACCGGAGAAGUAAGGGCCGGGUAAGACGGGUGCCAGCCGCCGCGGUAAUACCCGCGGCCCAAGUGGUGGUCGAUAUUAUUGAGCCUAAAACGUCCGUACCCGGUCUUGUAAAUCCUUGGGGAAAUCGACCAGCUCAACUGUUCGAAGUCCGGGGAGACUGCAAGACUUGGGAUCGGGAGAGGUGAGAGGUACUUCUGGGGUAGGGGGAAAAUCCUGUAAUCCUAGAAGGACCACCGGUGGCGAAGGCGGCUCACUAGAACGAAUCCGACGGUGAGGGACGAAGCCCUGGGGCGCAAACG